RNAcentral lists this ribosomal RNA (194 nucleotides) under uncultured bacterium. RNAcentral describes it as "partial 16S ribosomal RNA". It matches the Rfam family "Bacterial small subunit ribosomal RNA", at positions 337 to 524 of the family's 1533-position model. The record is from RNAcentral.
GCCUACGGGAGGCAGCAGGGGGAAUAUUGGACAAUGGGCGAAAGCCUGAUGCAGCUAUGCCGCGUGAGUGAUGAAGGCUUUCGGGUCGUAAAACUCUGUUGUUAGGGAAGAACAAGUACAAGAGUAACUGCUUGUACCUUAACGGUACCUAACCAGAAAGCCACGGCUAACUACGUGCCAGCAGCCGCGGUAAU